This 253-nucleotide ribosomal RNA is filed under the name uncultured bacterium. RNAcentral's name for it is "partial 16S ribosomal RNA". It matches the Rfam family "Bacterial small subunit ribosomal RNA", at positions 524 to 776 of the family's 1533-position model. The record is from RNAcentral.
UACGUAGGGUGCGAGCGUUAAUCGGAAUUACUGGGCGUAAAGCGUGCGUAGGCGGUCCGCUGUGUCCCGUGUGAAAGCCCCGGGCUUAACCUGGGAAUUGCAUGGGAAACUGGCGGGCUUGAGUGUGGCAGAGGAGGGUGGAAUUCCGCGUGUAGCAGUGAAAUGCGUAGAUAUCUGGAGGAACACCGGUGGCGAAGGCGGCAUCCUGGACCGGUAUUGACGCUGAGGCGCGAAAGCCAGGGGAGCAAACGGG